ACAAAAAACGCCAAUACUCUAAAUUAGAUUAGGAUCUGGGAAUUCUUCCAUUUUCCAUAAAGGAGCCGAAUGAAACCAAAG
RNAcentral lists this transfer RNA (81 nucleotides) under Beta vulgaris subsp. vulgaris (sugar beet). RNAcentral's name for it is "tRNA-Gly". Lineage: Eukaryota; Viridiplantae; Streptophyta; Magnoliopsida; Caryophyllales; Amaranthaceae. The record is from RNAcentral.